UAACUGUGUUUACAUAACAUAUAGCAGGAUAGGAAAGGCAAUCUCAUCCAUUGGCAACACCGCGUCGUCAAACUAUCGGAAAAUUAUUGCUGUUUCUUCUUGUAGACGAACAAUUCGAGACAAAUCAGCGAAAGGAUGGUCUGAGUGAUAAUUGAUGCUUGUGCCUAUGUUGGCAACAAGAUCUCGCAGGCAAUCAGCUCCAAGAAGUUGAAGGGCAAGGAGGAGGAUGUGGAGCCCAAGACAGAGACCGUGGGUCAGAGGAGCUGUGUGCUGAAGGGCAAAAAGCCCAGCCAGAAUGGUGCUACUUACAUGCAGCAUUCAGAGCCAAGCCAGGACCACCCUUAUGAUGCCCCACCACCCUACUACAAGUAGUCAGGGGCGGUUUUCUUAGAAAGGCAGUUAUAAUUGUGGUGUUACUACGUGUACCAACCUGAGAACCCUUCAACAUAGUCACAAUCAGCAACUGUGUACAUCUUUUGUUUAUGGCGCAAGUCCGGGACACGCACGUGCAACAUCGUCGAUGUAUCCAGGACAGGAACCAAAUCGAGGACUCCUGGGUCAGAAAACUGUCCAAAUCCAAUGAGAGCUGUUGCAAAAAA
Long non-coding RNA from Patiria miniata (bat star), 599 nucleotides. RefSeq lists it as uncharacterized. The transcript is spliced from 3 exons. The record is from RefSeq and is a predicted model, not a curated record. Lineage: Eukaryota; Metazoa; Echinodermata; Asteroidea; Valvatida; Asterinidae.